This is a long non-coding RNA of Melopsittacus undulatus (budgerigar), 555 nucleotides long. RefSeq lists it as uncharacterized. The record is from RefSeq and is a predicted model, not a curated record. The transcript is spliced from 4 exons. NCBI's taxonomy places the organism in Eukaryota, Metazoa, Chordata, Aves, Psittaciformes, Psittaculidae.
UGACUUUUCAGCAGCCACCAGACUGAAUGAGUAGCAGGAUAAGGUCAACAGGUGAAAUCAGACACAGCAGGAAUCAUUUCAUUCAUGGAUCUUGAAGCACCUAGCUGAAGACCAUGCCCAUUCCACCAAAGAGGAAGAAGAGUCAACUGAAGGCAGAAGCUGCAAGAUGCCUGGCAACAGUAUGUGGAGACAGGAAGAGCCUUUCAGUACAUCUGCAAACUGCAAGUACAGGAUAAAAAGCUGAAUGAACCCUGCUGGGAUUCAACCCACGUUCCAGAGAGUCUAGAUAUUUCAUAUCUGAUGCUUAAACCUCUAACCAAAUACAAUUUCUGCUAGGAGAUGUUCUGGUGUGUGGUCAGAUUUUAUUCUGUUUCUGUAUGAAAUUCACCCCCAGGUUUCAGAAAUUCCUACAUUUUACCAGCACACUGAAAUCCUGGUCAUUUGCAUGCUUUUGAAAAUUAGAGGUAAAUAUAUCAACAUAACAGAUGCAAUGGUUUUUUUUUUUAAUUAUUUUAUCCUCAACACCAUUCUAUCGAGAUCCUCAAAAGCAUUAGA